GGGGACCUGAUGCAGCCAUGCCGCGUGUGUGAAGAAGGCCUUCGGGUUGUAAAGCACUUUCAGUUGUGAGGAAAAGUUAGUAGUUAAUACCUGCUAGCCGUGACGUUAACAACAGAAGAAGCACCGGCUAACUCCGUGCCAGCAGCCGCGGUAAUACGGAGGGUGCGAGCGUUAAUCGGAAUUACUGGGCGUAAAGCGCACGCAGGCGGUUUGUUAAGCUAGAUGUGAAAGCCCCGGGCUCAACCUGGGAUGGUCAUUUAGAACUGGCAGACUAGAGUCUUGGAGAGGGGAGUGGAAUUCCAGGUGUAGCGGUGAAAUGCGUAGAUAUCUGGAGGAACAUCAGUGGCGAAGGCGACUCCCUGGCCAAAGACUGACGCUCAUGUGCGAAAGUGUGGGUAGCGAACAGGAUUAGAUACCCUGGUAGUCCACACCGUAAACGCUGUCUACUAGCUGUGUGUGUCUUUAAGUCGUGCGUAGCGAAGCUAACGCGCUAAGUAGACCGCCUGGGGAGUACGGCCGCAAGGUUAAAACUCAAAUG
Molecule: ribosomal RNA, 538 nt
Filed under: Alteromonas sp.
Lineage: Bacteria; Pseudomonadati; Pseudomonadota; Gammaproteobacteria; Alteromonadales; Alteromonadaceae
Description: bacterial SSU rRNA
Rfam family: Bacterial small subunit ribosomal RNA
Source: RNAcentral